RNAcentral lists this ribosomal RNA (449 nucleotides) under uncultured bacterium. RNAcentral describes it as "partial 16S ribosomal RNA". It matches the Rfam family "Bacterial small subunit ribosomal RNA", at positions 29 to 523 of the family's 1533-position model. The record is from RNAcentral.
AACGAACGCUGGCGGCAUGCCUAACACAUGCAAGUCGAACGAAGGCUUCGGCCUUAGUGGCGCACGGGUGCGUAACGCGUGGGAAUCUGCCCCUCGGUUCGGAAUGACCGUUAGAAAUGACUGCUAAUACCGGAUGAUGACUUCGGUCCAAAGAUUUAUCGCCGAGGGAUGAGCCCGCGUAAGAUUAGGUAGUUGGUGGGGUAAAGGCCUACCAAGCCGACGAUCUUUAGCUGGUCUGAGAGGAUGAUCAGCCACACUGGGACUGAGACACGGCCCAGACUCCUACGGGAGGCAGCAGUGGGGACUAUUGGACAAUGGGCGAAAGCCUGAUCCAGCAAUGCCGCGUGAGUGAUGAAGGCCUUAGGGUUGUAAAGCUCUUUUACCAGGGAUGAUAAUGACAGUACCUGGAGAAUAAGCUCCGGCUAACUCCGUGCCAGCAGCCGCGGUAA